CAUGCCUAACACAUGCAAGUCGAACGGAACCUCUUUAAUUGAUUUCUUCGGAAUGAUUUUGAUUAAGUUUAGUGGCGGACGGGUGAGUAACGCGUGAGUAACCUGCCUCUGAGAGGGGAAUAACAUUCUGAAAAGAAUGCUAAUACCGCAUAACAUAUAUUUAUCGCAUGGUAGAUAUAUCAAAGAUUUAUCGCUCAGAGAUGGACUCGCGUCCGAUUAGUUAGUUGGUGAGGUAACGGCUCACCAAGACCGCGAUCGGUAGCCGGACUGAGAGGUUGAACGGCCACAUUGGGACUGAGACACGGCCCAGACUCCUACGGGAGGCAGCAGUGGGGGAUAUUGCGCAAUGGGGGAAACCCUGACGCAGCAACGCCGCGUGAAGGAUGAAGGUCUUCGGAUUGUAAACUUCUUUUAUUAAGGACGAAGAAAGUGACGGUACUUAAUGAAUAAGCUCCGGCUAACUACGUGCCAGCAGCCGCCGCAG
This 484-nucleotide ribosomal RNA is filed under the name uncultured bacterium. RNAcentral's name for it is "partial 16S ribosomal RNA". It matches the Rfam family "Bacterial small subunit ribosomal RNA", at positions 43 to 523 of the family's 1533-position model. The record is from RNAcentral.